AUACGGAGGGGGCGAGCGUUAUUCGGAAUCAUUGGGCGUAAAGGGCGCGUAGGCGGCCUGACAAGUCAGGGGUGAAAUCCCUCGGUUCAACCGAGGAACUGCCUCUGAAACUGUCAGGCUUGAGGCCGGGAGAGGGUAGUGGAAUUCCCAGUGUAGCGGUGAAAUGCGUAGAUAUUGGGAGGAACACCAGUGGCGAAGGCGGCUACCUGGACCGGUUCUGACGCUGAGGCGCGAAAGUGUGGGGAGCAAACAGGAUUAGAUACCCUAGUAGUCC
RNAcentral lists this ribosomal RNA (274 nucleotides) under uncultured bacterium. RNAcentral describes it as "partial 16S ribosomal RNA". It matches the Rfam family "Bacterial small subunit ribosomal RNA", at positions 523 to 796 of the family's 1533-position model. The record is from RNAcentral.